This 570-nucleotide ribosomal RNA is filed under the name uncultured bacterium. RNAcentral describes it as "partial 16S ribosomal RNA". It matches the Rfam family "Bacterial small subunit ribosomal RNA", at positions 355 to 1375 of the family's 1533-position model. The record is from RNAcentral.
UGGGGAAUAUUGCACAAUGGGCGCAAGCCUGAUGCAGCGACGCCGCGUGAGGGAUGACGGCCUUCGGGUUGUAAAACCUCUUUCAAUAGGGACGAAGCGCAAGUGACGGUACCUAUAGAAGAAGGACCGGCCAACUACGUGCCAGCAGCCGCGGUAAUACGUAGGGUCCGAGCGUUGUCCGGAAUUACUGGGCGUAAAGAGCUCGUAGGUGGUUUGUCGCGUUGUUCGUGAAAACUCACAGCUUAACUGUGGGCGUGCGGGCGAUACGGGCAGACUAGAGUACUGCAGGGGAGACUGGAAUUCCUGGUGUAGCGGUGGAAUGCGCAGAUAUCAGGAGGAACACCGGUGGCGAAGGCGGGUCUCUGGGCAGUAACUGACGCUGAGGAGCGAAAGCGUGGGGAGCGAACAGGAUUAGAUACCCUGGUAGUCCACGCCGUAAACGGUGGGUACUAGGUGUGGGUUUCCUUCCUUGGGGAUCCGUGCCGUAGCUAACGCAUUAAGUACCCCGCCUGGGGAGUACGGCCGCAAGGCUAAAACUCAAAGGAAUUGACGGGGUCAUAGCUGUUUCCU